AGCUGGCCAGCCUGCAGGCGUCUCUUCGUUUUGCAGUGUACACCACCUGAAUCUGUAACCCCAAAGAGGAGUUCCCACGGGGGGGAACAAAAGAAGAAAAAGAAAGCGAACCCCGGUGGCGCUCCCAAAUCCACCCUUCCCAGGGGUCGGCUCCACUGCCUUGGUCAUCGGCUCACAUCCACCCGGCGGCAGACAAGGCUCAGCACUUCCUUGAGUUUCCGUGAAGCGAAGGCCUCACUUCGAGCACCAAGACGUUAGACACGAUGACACUGUGGAUUUUAAUAAGUCAGCUUGGAUUCUCAGUGGAAUAGCGGGACCUGAUGGUGCCUUUGGAAAGCAGUUUCAGAGGGACGCGGGUAAAGAAGACACCAGCCAAGGAAUGGCCCCUUGGGGGGCCAGCAAAUGCUUCAAAAAGACAGACUGGCCUCCUGAGUCCAGAGCUGAUGCACGUCGAGGCCGUCAAGGAAGGUUGCAGCGGUAGCCGACAUCUACUCUCUCAUUUUCUAACCACCCACCCACCGCCUCCGUCCGCCCCAGCCAAGCCCGUGAAAUGCAUUGCCCACUUCCGGAAGGCAUCGCUGGCCGUCUUCAGGAGCCGCUCCGUCGUUUCUGACGUCAUUCGAUAGUAGGAAAACAAAAAUCCCUUCUGUUUUUUUAUGAGGCAUUUUCAGGUAUCGGGUGCAGAGGUAAAAGUUCAUAAGCACAUACUCUUAAUGAGCUAAGCGCGGGAGCGCUAGAUAAAUAAGAAUGAUUCGGUUUGACAAUUGCAGGGGCGGAACACGGAGUCUUUGGUUGCAUAGUCCAAGAAGAGUGAUUGUCUUUCCCCCUGUCUUCAUGCCAUGACAGGUAGCUUUCCCGUUCCUUGCCAGUUUCAUGAACUUGGAUUUGGACACAUUCCUUUCCCACCUGGUCAAGAAAGUAGAGCGUAUCCGAAUACAAACAAGAGAAAGGGACGUUAAUAGUAUCAGGAUCAUUUUUGAUGUAUUCUUAUUAAUGAAAAAGGAAAAUUGGGGAGUUCCCAUUGUAGAUUGAGGACCCCACGUUGUCUUUGUGAGGAUGCAGGUUUGAUCCUUGGCCUUGCUCAGUGGGUUAAGGAUCUGGUGCUGCUGUGGCUGUGGCAUAGGUCGCAGAUAUGGGUGUUGCUGUGGCUGUGGUGUAGGUUGCAGUGUAUCUCUGUUUUGACCCCUCACCUGGGAACUUCCGCAUGCUGCAGGUGCAUGCCAAAAAAG
Molecule: long non-coding RNA, 1229 nt
Filed under: Sus scrofa (pig)
Lineage: Eukaryota; Metazoa; Chordata; Mammalia; Artiodactyla; Suidae
Description: lncRNA (ENSSSCG00015051755.1)
Source: RNAcentral